AUUGAACGCUGGCGGCAGGCCUAACACAUGCAAGUCGAACGGUAACAGGAAACAGCUUGCUGUUUCGCUGACGAGUGGCGGACGGGUGAGUAAUGUCUGGGAAACUGCCUGAUGGAGGGGAUAACUACUGGAAACGGUAGCUAAUACCGCAUAACGUCGCAAGACCAAAGAGGGGGACCUUAGGGCCUCUUGCCAUCGGAUGUGCCCAGAUGGGAUUAGCUAGUAGGUGGGUAAAGGCUCACCUAGGCGACGAUCCCUAGCUGGUCUGAGAGGAUGACCAGCCACACUGGAACUGAGACACGGUCCAGACUCCUACGGGAGCAGCAGUGGGAAUAUGCACAAUGGGCGCAAGCCUGAUGCAGCCAUGCCGCGUGU
This 375-nucleotide ribosomal RNA is filed under the name uncultured bacterium. RNAcentral's name for it is "bacterial SSU rRNA". It matches the Rfam family "Bacterial small subunit ribosomal RNA", at positions 30 to 404 of the family's 1533-position model. The record is from RNAcentral.